CAGUCGUACCUUCGGGUAAUCAGCCUUUCGGGUGCGAUUCUGUGGAGUGUGAGGAGCUUAAACACCUUCAUGUUUUGCAUAUUCGUACUCUUGGGUAUACUUGCUCGUAUGGGUUGGUUAACAUCAAUUUUGGUGGUCAUAAAAUGACUGGAGGAAUGUAGCUUCGAUCUUGUAUUGAGUUGUUAUAGCCAUCGGUA
RNAcentral lists this ribosomal RNA (197 nucleotides) under Glomus sp. (unid). The record is from RNAcentral. Lineage: Eukaryota; Fungi; Glomeromycota; Glomeromycetes; Glomerales; Glomeraceae.